This 497-nucleotide ribosomal RNA is filed under the name uncultured bacterium. RNAcentral's name for it is "partial 16S ribosomal RNA". It matches the Rfam family "Bacterial small subunit ribosomal RNA", at positions 28 to 507 of the family's 1533-position model. The record is from RNAcentral.
GAUGAACGCUGGCGGCGUGCCUAAUACAUGCGAGUCGAGCGAACAGACGAGGAGCUUGCUCCUCUGACGUUAGCGGCGGACGGGUGAGUAACACGUGGAUAACCUACCUAUAAGACUGGGAUAACUUCGGGAAACCGGAGCUAAUACCGGAUAAUAUAUUGAACCGCAUGGUUCAAUAGUGAAAGACGGUUUUGCUGUCACUUAUAGAUGGAUCCGCGCCGCAUUAGCUAGUUGGUAAGGUAACGGCUUACCCAGGCAACGAUGCGUAGCCGACCUGAGAGGGUGAUCGGCCACACUGGAACUGAGACACGGUCCAGACUCCUACGGGAGGCAGCAGUAGGGAAUCUUCCGCAAUGGGCGAAAGCCUGACGGAGCAACGCCGCGUGAGUGAUGAAGGUCUUCGGAUCGUAAAACUCUGUUAUUAGGGAAGAACAAAUGUGUAAGUAACUAUGCACGUCUUGACGGUACCUAAUCAGAAAGCCACGGCUAACUACGUG